RNAcentral lists this ribosomal RNA (693 nucleotides) under Shewanella sp. H836. RNAcentral's name for it is "bacterial SSU rRNA". It matches the Rfam family "Bacterial small subunit ribosomal RNA", at positions 63 to 746 of the family's 1533-position model. Lineage: Bacteria; Pseudomonadati; Pseudomonadota; Gammaproteobacteria; Alteromonadales; Shewanellaceae. The record is from RNAcentral.
CGAGCGGCAGCACAAGGGAGUUUACUCAUGAGGUGGCGAGCGGCGGACGGGUGAGUAAUGCCUAGGGAUCUGCCCAGUCGAGGGGGAUAACAGUUGGAAACGACUGCUAAUACCGCAUACGCCCUACGGGGGAAAGAGGGGGACUUUCGGGCCUUUCGCGAUUGGAUGAACCUAGGUGGGAUUAGCUAGUUGGUGAGGUAAUGGCUCACCAAGGCGACGAUCCCUAGCUGUUCUGAGAGGAUGAUCAGCCACACUGGGACUGAGACACGGCCCAGACUCCUACGGGAGGCAGCAGUGGGGAAUAUUGCACAAUGGGGGAAACCCUGAUGCAGCCAUGCCGCGUGUGUGAAGAAGGCCUUCGGGUUGUAAAGCACUUUCAGUAGGGAGGAAAGGUUGUAAGUUAAUACCUUGCAGCUGUGACGUUACCUACAGAAGAAGGACCGGCUAACUCCGUGCCAGCAGCCGCGGUAAUACGGAGGGUCCAAGCGUUAAUCGGAAUUACUGGGCGUAAAGCGUGCGCAGGCGGUUUGUUAAGCGAGAUGUGAAAGCCCCGGGCUCAACCUGGGAAUUGCAUUUCGAACUGGCAAACUAGAGUCUUGUAGAGGGGGGUAGAAUUCCAGGUGUAGCGGUGAAAUGCGUAGAGAUCUGGAGGAAUACCGGUGGCGAAGGCGGCCCCCUGCACAAAUACUUCGC